RNAcentral lists this ribosomal RNA (253 nucleotides) under uncultured bacterium. RNAcentral's name for it is "partial 16S ribosomal RNA". It matches the Rfam family "Bacterial small subunit ribosomal RNA", at positions 524 to 776 of the family's 1533-position model. The record is from RNAcentral.
UACGUAGGGCGCAAGCGUUGUCCGGAAUUAUUGGGCGUAAAGAGCUCGUAGGCGGUUUGUCGCGUCUGCUGUGAAAACCUCAGGCUCAACCUGGGGCUUGCAGUGGGUACGGGCAGACUAGAGUGCGGUAGGGGUGACUGGAAUUCCUGGUGUAGCGGUGGAAUGCGCAGAUAUCAGGAGGAACACCGAUGGCGAAGGCAGGUCACUGGGCCGCAACUGACGCUGAGGAGCGAAGGCAUGGGGAGCGAACAGG